This 431-nucleotide ribosomal RNA is filed under the name uncultured bacterium. RNAcentral describes it as "bacterial SSU rRNA". It matches the Rfam family "Bacterial small subunit ribosomal RNA", at positions 958 to 1392 of the family's 1533-position model. The record is from RNAcentral.
AACGCGAAGAACCUUACCUACCCUUGACAUGCCAGGAACUCUGCUGAGAGGCGGAGGUGCCCGAAAGGGAGCCUGGACACAGGUGCUGCAUGGCUGUCGUCAGCUCGUGUCGUGAGAUGUUGGGUUAAGUCCCGCAACGAGCGCAACCCUUAUCAUUAGUUGCUACGCAAGGGCACUCUAGUGAGACUGCCGGUGACAAACCGGAGGAAGGUGGGGAUGACGUCAAGUCCUCAUGGCCCUUAUGGGUAGGGCUUCACACGUCAUACAAUGGCGCAUACAGAGGGUCGCCAACCCGCGAGGGGGAGCCAAUCUCAGAAAGUGCGCCGUAGUCCGGAUUGCAGUCUGCAACUCGACUGCAUGAAGUCGGAAUCGCUAGUAAUCGCGAAUCAGCGAUGUCGCGGUGAAUACGUUCCCGGGUCUUGUACACACCG